RNAcentral lists this long non-coding RNA (785 nucleotides) under Homo sapiens (human). RNAcentral describes it as "HSALNT0305990". The record is from RNAcentral. Lineage: Eukaryota; Metazoa; Chordata; Mammalia; Primates; Hominidae.
GCUUCUAGUAGGCCAAACUCCCAGGUGACCCCCGCAAGAAACGCGGUCCGGAGAGGGUCUGGCCCCACUGCUGGGGCAAGGGCUCUAGGCGCCCGGACCCCACGCCCGCAGCCUGCGGAGAACGUGCCGACAAGGACCUGUAGGGCCCCACUCCCCCUCCUCCCUCCCUCGGCGCAGCCCGGCCCAGGGGUCUGUCCUCCCAGGCCCAGGAAAGGAGGAAACCCACUUCCGCCGCGUCCAUGAUCUCCCGCGGCUUCUCCUGACUCUUGCGGCUGGCGCUGGCGCUGGGCAUCGGGACACGGAACUGGGCAGUGGACACCACCCUCCCUCGCAGGCUUCCAAAGUAAUUUGAAGGCCUUCCCUGACUUAAAGUGGAUGCUGCUUUGGAAAGCACUGGAAAAAUGGAUCCUGUCUUUCUUAGCCAAGGACUGGUCUCUUUUCUCCAAUGUGUCCCUAACAGAGUGGUGAGGCUGGCUCUUCCCACCAGUACAGGUAAUGUGGUAAAGAUAGGACCACGUGGACGAAGAGGUAUUACCUUCUCUAAUUACAGCUAACAAAGACCUAGGCCUAACCUCAACUGCACCUUCUGUCUCUGGGAAGUCACUUAUAGAGUAGACCUAUAAUUAGGAUUUGGUACCGGAAACAUAAUUCUCAGGAUGGUGAAUCUCUAAAUUAUGUCCCCAGAGACAUACCUGAGACAAAACCCUAAGGGCUGUUGGCCGUAAGAGGGUGUGUGUGGUAUUCUACAUUCAGUAGGGAUUUAUAAAUGAGGAUGAUAUCACUCA